GACGAACGCUGGCGGCGUGCUUAACACAUGCAAGUCGAACGGAAAGGCCCUGCUUGUAGGGUACUCGAGUGGCGAACGGGUGAGUAACACGUGGGUGAGCUGCACUGCCCGUCGGGGUAAGCCUGGUAAACUGGGUGGAAUACCGGAUCGCAUACAGUUUCAGUGUCAUGGUUGGAGAGUUUUUUCGGUGUUGGAUGAGCUCGCGGCCUAUCAGCUUGUUGGUGGGGUAAUGGCCUACCAAGGCGGCGACGGGUAGCCGGCCUGAGAGGGUGGACGGCCACACUGGGACUGAGAGACGGCCCAGACUCCUACGGGAGGCAGCAGUGGGGAAGAUUGCACAAUGGGCGCAAGCCUGAUGCAGCGACGCCGCGUGGGGGAUGACGGCCUUCGGGUUGUAAACUCCUUUCGCUAGGGACGAAGCUUUUUGUGACGGUACCUAGAUAAGAAGCACCGGCUAACUACGUG
RNAcentral lists this ribosomal RNA (465 nucleotides) under uncultured bacterium. RNAcentral describes it as "partial 16S ribosomal RNA". It matches the Rfam family "Bacterial small subunit ribosomal RNA", at positions 28 to 507 of the family's 1533-position model. The record is from RNAcentral.